RNAcentral lists this ribosomal RNA (460 nucleotides) under uncultured bacterium. RNAcentral's name for it is "partial 16S ribosomal RNA". It matches the Rfam family "Bacterial small subunit ribosomal RNA", at positions 338 to 795 of the family's 1533-position model. The record is from RNAcentral.
CCUACGGGUGGCAGCAGUGAGGAAUAUUGGUCAAUGGGCGCGGGCCUGAACCAGCCAAGUCGCGUGAAGGAUGACUGUCCUACGGGUUGUAAACUUCUUUUAUAAAGGAAUAAAGUGAGGCACGUGUGCCUUUUUGUAUGUAUUUUAUGAAUAAGGAUCGGCUAACUCCGUGCCAGCAGCCGCGGUAAUACGGAGGAUGCGAGCGUUAUCAGGAUUUAUUGGGUUUAAAGGGAGCGUAGAUGGGUUGUUAAGUCAGUUGUGAAAGUUUGCGGCUCAACCGUAAAAGUGCAAUUGAUACUGGCAGCCUUGAGUAAAGUUGAGGUAGGCGGAAUUCGUGGUGUAGCGGUGAAAUGCUUAGAUAUCACGAAGAACUCCGAUUGCGAAGGCAGCCUACUAACCUGCCACUGACAUUGAUGCUCGAAAGUGUGGGUAUCAAACAGGAUUAGAUACCCGGGUAGUC